Long non-coding RNA from Portunus trituberculatus (swimming crab), 429 nucleotides. RefSeq lists it as uncharacterized. Lineage: Eukaryota; Metazoa; Arthropoda; Malacostraca; Decapoda; Portunidae. The record is from RefSeq and is a predicted model, not a curated record. The transcript is spliced from 3 exons.
AAUGUGAGGAAGUAAACAGAGAGAGAGAGAGAGAGAGAGAGAGAGAGAGAGAGAGAGAGAGAGACUAUUAAUACUAUUACUAUUCCAGAUGGGGGAGAGAAUAGUGAAGGAGAGUGACUGUUACUUCUACUACUACUCCUCUUGCUCUAAGGGAGAGAGCUGCAACUUUCGCCAUGAACCUUCAGCCCUUCGUAACGAGACAGUCUGUGUGUACUGGAAGAGUGGGAAAUGUACUCGAGACAAAUGCAUUUUUCGACACAUGGAUAUCACCAGGCGGGUGAGAGCGACCUGGUGGUGUUGAGGCACGAAAUAACACCAAACUGGCCGGACGGAUCCACUGAAGUCAAGGGAAUCACACUGGUCGAAUACGGAAAUCCCAACGGGUGAGAGAGUGAGAGGGGAGUGAGUGAGAGUGAGAGGGGAGUGGGU